This 301-nucleotide ribosomal RNA is filed under the name uncultured bacterium. Its description in RNAcentral is "partial 16S ribosomal RNA". It matches the Rfam family "Bacterial small subunit ribosomal RNA", at positions 509 to 807 of the family's 1533-position model. The record is from RNAcentral.
CAGUAGCCACGGUAAUACGAAGGGGGCUAGCGUUGCUCGGAAUGACUGGGCGUAAAGGGCGCGUAAGCGGAAUGCUUUGUCGGGCGUGAAAUUCCAGGGCUUAACCUUGGGGCUGCGUUCGAGACGGGUAUUCUAGAGUGGAGAAGAGGGUCGUGGAAUUCCCGGUGUAGCGGUGAAAUGCGUAGAUAUCGGAAGGAACACCUGUGGCGAAAGCGGCUCACUGGACAAUAACUGACGCUGAUGCACGAAAGCUAGGGGAGUAAACAGGAUUAGAUACCCCAGUAGUCCCUGUCUCUUAUAC